ACCCAGCUGACGAGUCCCACAUAGGGCGAAACCCGUGUACUGGAA
RNAcentral lists this non-coding RNA (45 nucleotides) under Schistosoma mansoni. Lineage: Eukaryota; Metazoa; Platyhelminthes; Trematoda; Strigeidida; Schistosomatidae. The record is from RNAcentral.